GGGCCCAUAGCUCAGCGGCAGAGCGGCCGGCUCAUAACCGGUUGGUCCUUGGUUCGAAUCCAGGUGGGCCCA
This 72-nucleotide transfer RNA is filed under the name Chloroflexi bacterium RBG_13_56_8. RNAcentral describes it as "tRNA-Met". It matches the Rfam family "tRNA". Rfam says of the family: Transfer RNA (tRNA) molecules are approximately 80 nucleotides in length. The record is from RNAcentral. RNAcentral also lists the same sequence under 2 other names. Lineage: Bacteria; Bacillati; Chloroflexota.